GGGGAUUUAGCUCAGUGGUAGAGUACUUGCCUAGCAAGUGAAAGGUUCAGUCCCCA
This 56-nucleotide transfer RNA is filed under the name Rattus norvegicus (Norway rat). The record is from Rfam by way of RNAcentral. Lineage: Eukaryota; Metazoa; Chordata; Mammalia; Rodentia; Muridae.